AUUGAACGCUGGCGGCAUGCUUUACACAUGCAAGUCGAACGGCAGCGCGGGCUUCGGCCUGGCGGCGAGUGGCGAACGGGUGAGUAAUGCAUCGGAACGUGCCCAGUAGUGGGGGAUAGCCCGGCGAAAGCCGGAUUAAUACCGCAUACGACCUGAGGGUGAAAGCGGGGGACCGAAAGGCCUCGCGCUAUUGGAGCGGCCGAUGUCGGCUUAGCUAGUUGGUGGGGUAAAGGCUUACCAAGGCGACGAUCCGUAGCUGGUCUGAGAGGACGACCAGCCACACGGGGAGUGAGACGCGGCCCAGACUCCUACGGGAGGCAGCAGUGGGGAAUUUUGGACAAUGGGGGCAACCCUGAUCCAGCCAUGCCGCGUGCGGGAAGAAGGCCUUCGGGUUGUAAACCGCUUUUGUUCGGGAAGAAAUCCUCUGGGCUAAUACCCCGGGGGGAUGACGGUACCGGAAGAAUAAGCACCGGCUAACUACGUG
RNAcentral lists this ribosomal RNA (484 nucleotides) under uncultured bacterium. RNAcentral describes it as "partial 16S ribosomal RNA". It matches the Rfam family "Bacterial small subunit ribosomal RNA", at positions 28 to 507 of the family's 1533-position model. The record is from RNAcentral.